This 77-nucleotide transfer RNA is filed under the name bacterium. Its description in RNAcentral is "tRNA-Ile". It matches the Rfam family "tRNA". From Rfam's summary of the family: Transfer RNA (tRNA) molecules are approximately 80 nucleotides in length. Their secondary structure includes four short double-helical elements and three loops (D, anti-codon, and T loops). Further hydrogen bonds mediate the characteristic L-shaped molecular structure. tRNAs have two regions of fundamental functional importance: the anti-codon, which is responsible for specific mRNA codon recognition, and the 3' end, to which the tRNAs corresponding amino acid is attached (by aminoacyl-tRNA synthetases). tRNAs cope with the degeneracy of the genetic code in two manners: having more than one tRNA (with a specific anti-codon) for a particular amino acid; and 'wobble' base-pairing, i.e. permitting non-standard base-pairing at the 3rd anti-codon position. The record is from RNAcentral.
GGGCCAGUAGCUCAGUAGGUUAGAGCGUACCCCUGAUAAGGGUAAGGUCGAUGGUUCGAUUCCAUUCUGGCCCACCA